RNAcentral lists this transfer RNA (74 nucleotides) under Fermentimonas sp. RNAcentral's name for it is "tRNA-Asp". It matches the Rfam family "tRNA". From Rfam's summary of the family: Transfer RNA (tRNA) molecules are approximately 80 nucleotides in length. Lineage: Bacteria; Pseudomonadati; Bacteroidota; Bacteroidia; Bacteroidales; Dysgonomonadaceae. The record is from RNAcentral.
GGCCCGAUGGUUCAGUUGGUUAGAACGCCGCCCUGUCACGGCGGAGGUCGAGGGUUCAAGUCCCUCUCGGGUCG